RNAcentral lists this ribosomal RNA (375 nucleotides) under Triticum aestivum (bread wheat). Its description in RNAcentral is "partial small subunit ribosomal RNA". Lineage: Eukaryota; Viridiplantae; Streptophyta; Magnoliopsida; Poales; Poaceae. The record is from RNAcentral.
AUGGCGUUCAGCGGCACCCAGAUGCUCGCCGCCUUCACCCUGGGCAUUCUCCUCAUGGCCUUCUGUGUGGAGGCUCAGGCAUGCAUGUCCCGUAGCAAGUCGUACAAAGGCCCUUGCAAGAAACUGCGCUGCACCAAGGCUUGUCACAAAGAGCACUUCAAGGGUGGGUUUUGCACCAGUAAAAAGUCGAUCGUUGACGAUGAGCUCAAUGAAGACGACGGCGAGAACGGCUUUCAAAAACCGCCUAGGAAAAAGUUGUGCAUUUGUACAUCCUCAUGCAGCCAAGCCCCACCACCACCGUCGGAACCUCAUGUGCCGGAGCCGCCCGAAGUGCCAGUGCCUGGGCCACCGCCGAGGGCCGGCCAUAUUUAUUGA